UACGUAGGGUGCAAGCGUUGUUCGGAAUUACUGGGCGUAAAGGGCUCGUAGGCGGCCAACUAAGUCGGACGUGAAAUCCCUCGGCUUAACCGGGGAACUGCGUCCGAUACUGGAUGGCUUGAGUUUGGGAGAGGGAUGCGGAAUUCCAGGUGUAGCGGUGAAAUGCGUAGAUAUCUGGAGGAACACCGGUGGCGAAGGCGGCAUCCUGGACCAACACUGACGCUGAGGAGCGAAAGCCAGGGGAGCAAACGGG
RNAcentral lists this ribosomal RNA (253 nucleotides) under uncultured bacterium. RNAcentral's name for it is "partial 16S ribosomal RNA". It matches the Rfam family "Bacterial small subunit ribosomal RNA", at positions 524 to 776 of the family's 1533-position model. The record is from RNAcentral.